RNAcentral lists this non-coding RNA (23 nucleotides) under Arabidopsis thaliana (thale cress). The record is from RNAcentral. Lineage: Eukaryota; Viridiplantae; Streptophyta; Magnoliopsida; Brassicales; Brassicaceae.
AACAUUUCUUCCAAUCUUCGCCA